UGCGAAUAGUUGUUGUUUUGUUUUCUUUCAUUCGUAGUCCAGGGUACAUAUUUAUAGUCUGGAGACUUGCUUCUCCUAACUUAUUCUAACUGACUAGAUACGAAUCUUGACUAUCUCUAUCUAAGCUAACUUAAAUGCACACAUCUAUCUAGAUACAUGGCCAAUCCUGGCCUUAAACUGCCCGCGCAGGAACCGAUUCGCAAACCCAUUACAAUUACCCUUUUAAGCCCAUCUUGCUCGCGGCCCACCUUCUAGCCCAGCCAAAUCAUAACGAUAACAAGCAUGUACACUACAAUCCUAACACUAAUACAGACACACAUCGUCAACAUCUUUACUGCAGCAAUCAACCUGUCCAUCUUCACUUCCAUUACACGUGGACACACUCUUCCAGCACCAGACGCCACAGCCAUGGAGUCAACUUCUUCGUCCAGUAUAACAUGGCCGGUAGAUAAUGGCCAUUGAUUCCUGCAGAUGGGCCACCAUCUAUAUCAGCAAGGUGCAUCUCCACAUAAUUGGAAGCACAAAGUUCCUGCAAGUAAAACCUCUAAAAUUUGUAGUACAGGCACCUUCCAGGCAUCUGUACUGGACGGGUGCAUAAUUAGUCACAACUAUCUUAUAAAAAAGAGCUGCAGCCCUAGGUCACAACAUUUUUCAAAGAUGCAUCCAAAAUCAGAAUUUGACUCACAUUUUCUAUGUUCCUUGGACACUUGAAGAACACACGUUCAUGAUGAAUACCUCCAUUCUUCACUCGCAGCUCAAUAACCCACUCCAUCUUACACAAGCGGCAAGGGAUCAGUGGCAAGCUGGUCUCAUCACCAACACGAAACUUGCCUCAACUGGGGCCGCGUGGACCUGCACCUACUAGCCAAGGACUCUCCAAUGUGAGACAUGCUGGCCGAGGGAGAGGGGGAGCAGCCUGGGGAUGCAGAUGGCGUCGCCCAGGUCGGAGGAGGAAGAAGAGGGCAGGAGGAAGAGGAGGGGAAUGGGG
This 988-nucleotide long non-coding RNA is filed under the name Panicum hallii. RNAcentral's name for it is "long non-coding RNA (PHAL_LNC000908)". The record is from RNAcentral. Lineage: Eukaryota; Viridiplantae; Streptophyta; Magnoliopsida; Poales; Poaceae.